RNAcentral lists this ribosomal RNA (2145 nucleotides) under Triticum aestivum (bread wheat). RNAcentral's name for it is "partial small subunit ribosomal RNA". Lineage: Eukaryota; Viridiplantae; Streptophyta; Magnoliopsida; Poales; Poaceae. The record is from RNAcentral.
AUGGAUUCGAGGAUAGCUUUCUCUGGCUGUGCUCUGCUACUGGUGGUCACACUGUUGCCUCUUUCCGCAAAUGCGUCGAGCAAACUCCACAUAGUGUACAUGGGGGAGAAGAAACAUGACGAUCCAUCUGCUGUCACGGCGUCACACCAUGACAUACUAACCUCCGUUCUUGGGAGCAAAGAUGAAUCGUUGAAGUCGAUAGUUUACAGUUACAAACACGGAUUCUCUGGGUUCGCGGCAAUGCUCACCAAAACCCAAGCUAGGACGUUGGCAAAAUUUCCUGAAGUUAUAAGUGUGAAGCCUAACACUUACCACAAGGCGCACACAACUCGAAGCUGGGACUUCCUUGGCCUUGGACACAACAAAUCACCACAACAAACUGACCUCCUCCGAAAAGCGAAUUACGGUGAAGAUAUCAUCUUCGGGGUGAUCGAUUCAGGCAUAUGGCCUGAAUCACGAAGUUUUGAUGACAACGGAUACGGCCCUGUGCAGGCACGGUGGAAAGGCAUAUGCCAGACCGGAACAACGUUCAAUGCAAUGAGUUGCAAUAGAAAGAUCAUCGGCGCACGGUGGUACUCCGAGGGAAUUAAUGCCAUGCACCUCAAGGGGACGCCGCACACAACCCCUCACCUCAAGGGUGAGUACAUGUCACCUCGGGAUUUCAGCGGCCAUGGCACUCAUGUUGCCUCGACGAUUGCCGGAGGAGAAGUGCAGGAUGUGAGCUAUGCGGGCCUAGCCACCGGCAUGGCACAUGGCGGGGCACCACGUGCACGGCUAGCAAUUUACAAGGUGUUAUGGGGCCCGAACACAGCAGCCAGUGACGCGAGCAUCCUCGCAGCCAUUGACGAUGCCAUACACGAUGGUGUAGAUGUCUUAUCGCUCUCACUGGGAAGGGGUGCCGGUCAUGAGUUCCCUGGGACACUUCAUGCUGUCUUGAGAGGGAUCUCAGUUAUCUUCUCUGCCGGGAAUGAUGGCCCGGCACCACAAACGGUGACGAAUGUCGUGCCAUGGGUCACGACAGUGGCCGCUAGCACGAUGGACCGGGCCUUCCCAACCUUCAUAUCUCUCAGAAACAAAGAAAAGCUUGUGGUAUGUACUUUAAAACUUUUGCGCAGCUGCACGAAGGAGUGGUUAGCGUCAAGCAAUGUGACCGGCAAGAUCGUGUUGUGCUAUGCACCGAGGGAGGCUCCGAGCGUGUUGCCUCGGUACAACAUGAACAGCUUGGACUCCCUGACGGCGUGCAAGGCCGGCAUGCCAUGCGUUGUGGUAGACUACGAAAUCGCACAGAAAAUUGCAUCUUACUGGGAGAACACAGAGAAUCCCAUUGUGAAGGUCUCACCUACCAUGAUUGUUGUCGGAGACGGGGUGCUAUCACCGAGGGUUGCUUCAUUCUCCUCCAGAGGUCCGAGCCCCCUAUAUCCAGGCAUACUCAAGCCCGACAUAACCGCGCCGGGUGUUAGCAUCUUAGCAACUGUUCGUGGCUCCUAUGUGUUAUUUUCUGGUACAUCCAUGGCAUGUCCACAUGUCUCUGCGGUGACCGCACUGCUUAAGUCGAUUCACCCUGAUUGGUCACCUGCUAUGAUCAAGUCUGCAAUUGUCACCACAGCGUCAGUGACCGAUGGUUUUGGUGCGCCGAUCGAAGCAGAGACGGUCCCGAGGAAGGUGGCUGAUCCUUUCGACUUUGGUGGUGGCCACAUAAACCCAGACAGAGCUAGUGACCCUGGCUUGGUUUACAAUGUGGAUGCAAGAGAGUACAACAAGUUUUUUAACUGUACCAUAGGAUUGUUACAUGGUUGCGAAUCCUACCAACUCAAUCUCAAUCUCCCGUCGAUCGCUAUUCCGGACCUCAAGGACCAUGUCACGGUUCAACGCACUAUCACAAAUGUGGGGGCGGUCGGAACAACUUAUCGUGCGGUGCUUGAAGCUCCAGCAUGGGUGGUCAUGUCCGUGGAGCCAUCAAUGGUCACAUUCGCCAAAGGUAGUAGCACAAGCAUGACAUUUAGGGUGUCGUUUACUACAAGGCGGAGAGUGCAAGGCGGGUUUACCUUUGGGAGCUUGACAUGGUCAGAUGGAAAUACCCACCCAGUUAGGAUUGCUGUCGCAGUAAGAACUGUGAUACAAGACUUUGUCACGGAUACAUCUUAA